This 2161-nucleotide long non-coding RNA is filed under the name Pelobates cultripes (western spadefoot toad). Lineage: Eukaryota; Metazoa; Chordata; Amphibia; Anura; Pelobatidae. The record is from RNAcentral.
AAUCAAGAUUAUUUUUUUUAAUGCUCCUCUUUUUCCCCCACUAUUGGUCACUUCCCACAUGAUCUGGGAAUAAAAUCAACAAUUAGUAACUGUCUCCUAGCCAACUGUUAUCUUUUCUUUGUUCCAUCGAUCAUCUUUUAUUUUUAGGUCAUAUGGCAGAAUACAGAUGAUUAGCCGAUUGUCCAAAGUUCAGACAAAUUGAAAUUCUAUAGAAAUUGAAUACACGACUAAUGAGCAAUAUGGCAGCAGUAAAUAUGUGUCUGAACAAAGCAUGGAAAAUAAAUGUAACUUAACUAGAAUCUCAGUCAUUCCGUUGUACACAAAUACCCUCUAAAUUUUCAUUGCAAAAAGCGGUAUCAGUGAAGUUACUUUUACCCGGCGUGAUUUUAUCCAUUUAGAAAAGGUGAAGGACCAGACACUAAUAAAUAAGUUCAAUUUAAUAAGUUUGAACUUGACAAAAGCUAGUUUAAACAGCUUUCCAUGUCUUAAAUUUCAUUAAAGGGUGUGACAACAUGACAGUAAGGUGUAUGGAACGACAUCCGAAUCCCUUCACCUGAAAAGAAACUCAAUUGGUAUAAUUGUCUGUGACUAAUGGCUGUCAAAACAACAAAUAUAACAAAAAAUGAUGUCAGAUGCUUUGUCAAUAUGUCAUAACACCAAAAAUAUUUCACUGUAGGUUAUGCUUCCCAUGGUGAUAUGAGUUUACAGGUAUUCUCUUUGUGAGGCACAACGUUCUUUUAAAAUCUCACCUUUCUAACUGUUGCAAUAUUAUAAUUAAAAUGUCCUCAUUCCCAGGUCUUGGGGCAGUAGUGUUCUACUUGUGGGAACCCUGAGAUUAAUAAUGGCCCAUUAGCAAUCUUGUAUUACACAUAAUAUGGUAUUUUGGAAAUAUAAUUAUUUUUUUUUUUAAAUAAACCCACAUGACUUAAAUCAUGUCACGCUUAUGCGUUCCACGUGCCUAUGUCGUAGCCUGUGAAUCAACGGCACCCUAGAUAGCUCUGCAUACUUCAGCCAAGUUGUUGAUUUCCUUGGGGUCUUUUACAUCUUUGCUGUAGCUAAACUAAUCCCAGGCGUUGCUAGUGACUUGAUGCUGUCAUUUUCUCCUGAGGAGAAGUUGUAUCAAUUUUUCACUGCUUUUUAAAUCUCCACCACCGUGUCGCCAAGCAUUAAAUGCCCUACUUUUAAGGUUAAGUAGAUUUUUGUGGCAACCAAAUGCUGUGACGUAAAAUAAUCUGUUUGUUCGCAGCGUCUUGAAAAGAAAAAUUGUAUCAAAUGGCAGUAUUUCUUUAUGGUAUUUUUAUUAACUCACCAUCUUUGAGUUCAUAGAAAUGCAGAAGAAAUAUUUCUCAUGAUAUUGAUUUUUGGAUCAUUAUUACAGGAUCGUGAGGACUGUCCUUUGGUAUUCGACCUCACCGCACAGGGAUUACAGAAGAUUAUUAUACAGUUUCUGAGAAUGAGAACUAGAUAUGCUCAUUUUAAUUCUAAGUGGAUGCUUCAAUCAUUUUCAAACAGUUUGUGACUCACCGAGAGCUCCCUCACACAGACCAAUUCAUAUGCAUUCAUUUUACUAGUUUGUUAUACAUUUUAUGUGAAAACAUCUUCAUGCUAAUCAGUGGAGAUACAGAAAAAAAAAUGUUCAUUUUCUUAAAGGUGAAUUUGUGUUGACUUAAAUUGUCAAUUCCUUUUUCAAUUCUCUGUAAUGCUCAGUAUAGUGAAUAAACCCCAAUGUUUUAACAGUUCAGUUACAUAGCUGAAAAUUGACUUGCGUGCAUCAAGUUCAGCCUUCCUCACAUUUGUUUUUUGCUGUUUGAUCCAAAAGAAGGCAAAAAAAAACAGUUUGAAGCACAAUUUUGCAACAAGCUAGGAAAAAAAUUCAUUCUUGACCCCAGAAUGGCAAUUAGAUUUAUCCUUGGAUCAAGCAGUUAUUACCCUACAAAGAUUAUAUCCUUGAAUAUUCUGUUUUUGCAAGUAUGCAUCUAGUAGCUGUUUGAACAUCUGUAUGGACUCUGAUAAAACCACUUCUUCAGGCAGAGAAUUCCACAUCCUGAUUGUUCUUACAGUAAAAAAACCUUUCCUUUGCCUUAGACGAAAUCUUCUUUCUUCCAGUCUAAACGCAUGGCCUCGUGUCCUAUGUAAAGUCCGGUUUGUGAAUAGAUUUCCA